This is a long non-coding RNA of Chelonia mydas (Green sea turtle), 1342 nucleotides long. RefSeq lists it as uncharacterized. NCBI's taxonomy places the organism in Eukaryota, Metazoa, Chordata, Testudines, Cheloniidae. The transcript has 3 exons. The record is from RefSeq and is a predicted model, not a curated record.
CACACAGAGCAGCGUAGGCUCUUGUGGGAAGGCCUCAGAUCAGGCCUACAAGAAAAGGGAGUUUCCUGGGAGAAGCUGCUCGCACCCCUGGGAGGCAGUGGGAAACCUGUCAGGCCCAAGAGGAGCAGAAGCAGGGUUGGUUGGAUGUUUUGUCUGGUGGUUUAAUUGGACUUUUGUUACCUGAGAAGGGGUCUGGACUUUAAGUGUGACCUGGCUGAAGGGCUUUGUAACCCAGAAGAGAACCAUGGAAGAACCAGACUGGUUGACAAAAGGGGCACUAAAGUGGAAGACCCUUGCAAUGCUGUGUCCUAAUGCCAGGAGUGCUAUGGCGGACAACAAAAUGUGCUCCUAGCUGAAACUCUGGAUGCCAGGGAAUGAUCUUCUCUCAAAGCUUCCAGUUAUCUCAAAUUGUAAUAAAGUGACUGAGUGUCUAUUCCUCAUAUGCUACAGGAGUUGGUCACUACCCCUCAGCAGCUGGACUCUUCCACUGAUGCUCCGACGGCCCCCACCAUGAGUGAAACAGCUGUAUAGGUGACCGGGACUUCCCUAUGAAUUAUGGAGUCUGACUUACCCUGAUAUUCUGAAUGGUGUGAGCAGUGUGGAGCAGCUUUUUCCAGAAUCUCCUCUAUACCUAUUUGGCCCUGUGUCAGUAGUACUCAGCACCUCCUUCCACCAGUGCCCACAAUGAAGUUAUCAGUCAUUGUGGACCAUACCACUUCUGUACUUCGAUUUUGAUUUUCAGGCACCAAGUCCUAUCAUCACAAUCAUAAUUCUACAACCGUUUAAUACACAUGACAUGCCAGAGUAUACAGUAAAUCACUGAGUAGGUUUGUGUAUCUUUCCCUAUUCACUGAAAUCAGGAAACAAACAUUCUUCCUCCCUCCACCACAAAUAUGGAUCAGAUCUGAAUUGUCCAGAGCAGGAGAUUUUGUGCUAGACCAUGAGGGAGCAGAGAGCAUCAUGACUUUGAAAUAAAUCUGUAUUUAUUCAUACGUGAAGUAUAGUGCAUACAACCAAAAUGUAAGUUCCUUUAUACCGAUGAGUUUCCUUUUCUUCUGCUAAUUUCAGCUGCAACCUACGAGAGACUCUUCCUUAGACUAAAAAAGUAAAUACGUAAAAGUACAGUUGUUAUGCUUUAAUGCCGCAAGUAGAACUAUUGUUAGAUUAAGUGUGGAAUUGGGUGAAGGUGGCCAUAAACUGAUGCUCGCUAGAAUACACUUUGUGGCUCACUAAGAACUAAUCUGAGUCCACUGGGUUCAUUUCAGUUAAGUUCUUAUUUUAAACUAAUGGUGCUCAACACUGGCGCCUAAGCAGUACUCCUGAUUUUAUCCAGUUGGAACAC